Molecule: ribosomal RNA, 413 nt
Filed under: uncultured bacterium
Lineage: Bacteria
Description: bacterial SSU rRNA
Rfam family: Bacterial small subunit ribosomal RNA
Source: RNAcentral
GUGCCAGCCGCCGCGGUAAUACGUAGGGGCCAAGCGUUGUCCGGAGUUACUGGGCGUAAAGCGUGCGCAGGCGGCUCGUUGCGCCCGACGUGAAAGCCCCCGGCUCAACCGGGGAGGGUCGUCGGGGACGGGCGAGCUUGAGGGUGUCAGGGGCUGGUGGGACUCCCGGUGUAGUGGUGAAAUGCGGAGGGAUCGGGAAGAACACCCGUGGCGAAGGCGGCCAGCUGGGACACACCUGACGCUGAGGCACGAAGGCGUGGGGAGCGAACGGGAUUAGAUACCCCGGUAGUCCACGCAGUAAACGAUGCAGACUAGGCGUGGGGGGACUUGACCCCCUCCGUGCCGGAGCCAACGCGGGAAGUCUGCCGCCUGGGGAGUACGGCCGCUAGGCUAAAACUUAAAGGAAUUGGCGG